Molecule: non-coding RNA, 169 nt
Filed under: uncultured Gemella sp.
Lineage: Bacteria; Bacillati; Bacillota; Bacilli; Caryophanales; Gemellaceae
Description: Lysine riboswitch
Rfam family: Lysine riboswitch aptamer
About the family: Riboswitches are metabolite binding domains within certain messenger RNAs that serve as precision sensors for their corresponding targets.
Source: RNAcentral
UGAGGUGGAGGUCGCGAUACUUAAUAGUAAUUAAUAGGAGAUUUAGGAGUCUUUGAAUAUUAGUGAAAGGAUUUAUCGCCGAAAUGAUAUGUGACCUAAAUACAUAUUGUUGGGGCUAUGUUUAAUAGGCAUAGAACUGUCAUAGCAAUUCGCUAUGUUGAGCUACUUU